CAAGCGAUGAGACGGUCCAAAUUUAAGUUAACAAAUCAAACCCGUAUAUACGGCUUUUAUCAUCCCAUCAACAGGAUAUGCGUGACCUGCCUCCCCUUCCCCAUACCCUAUUCAGAUCUGUAUCAGCUUUCUCAACAAGAGAAAGAAUGGUAAAAAUGAUAGACCCUUUUCUUCUCUUCUCUUUCUCUCUGGACUACCUCCAUCACCAAAUAGGAAACCUAACCCUAGACACUACUAUUUUCUUCAUUGUCAGUCAAAUAACAAAAAAAUGGCUCAAUUCAUCUGUAACAGUCAAGAACAAAAGGGAAAAGUGUAUUCCAUUUUGGAGAUUUAAAAUUCAAAAUCUCCCCCUCUUUUUUUCCCAUUUUUUUAUCUUUAGGUUUCAAAUCCGAACUUUGAAGUCCGGAUUUGCACCUAUAAAAGGGGUUGAAUAUCGGAGAUUAGGGAGAGGGAGGUUAGAGCUAAAAGUUCAUACUACAGUCACAAAAAAUUCACAAGUAAAGUGAAAAAAAUUUCUGGUUUCUUCCCUUAUUUUGGGUGUAAGUUCGAGUCUUGAAACUCAAGUUUUGGUGGCUGAAAUCUUCUUGACGUCGGAUCCAGGCCUGCUGCGCAACAUAAGGUUUAGAAGCAUGAGCACCAGAGCAUCAGUAGCAUCUCGGUUCAGCAGUCAGAGUCAGAGUCAGCUGUGAGUCCUCAUCCUUCAAGGACAUGAUAAUUACAUUAUUAUUUCAGUUUUUAGUUUAUUUCAAUAUUUCGGAGUUAGUUGGGGACAUGUCCCAUCAAUUCCAUAUUUUUCAGAUAGUUUAGAGCCUUUCAGACUAUAGCAUGUUUCAGAUAGUUUAUCUCAUCUUUGGGUAUUUUCAUACCCCAUUACAGUCAUUGUAUUAUAGUCAGUAUUAGUUCAUUUUUGAACCUUAUGGACUUACAACUUAUAUUCC
Long non-coding RNA from Capsicum annuum, 938 nucleotides. RefSeq lists it as uncharacterized. The transcript has 2 exons. NCBI's taxonomy places the organism in Eukaryota, Viridiplantae, Streptophyta, Magnoliopsida, Solanales, Solanaceae. The record is from RefSeq and is a predicted model, not a curated record.